GUAAGUUUUACUUCCCUGAGCCAUUUUUGUGGUUCCUCCACACUGUGGGUGAUAACAAGUAAAUGAAUGUCGGGUAAUCGAUACACUGGUUGAGUUUCCUUCUUUUGGUUAUUUGCUUCCUGGUAUGUCUGCAGAUCCACAAAGAAUAGUCAGCCCCUUAAACAAAACAAACUGGAGCUUAACAGCUUGUUUGGAUUGUUGUUACAUAUCGUUUCAUAAUGUAUCUAUCAUAUUGUAUUGUAUUGUAUUGUUUGAUAAAUACAACGUUUGGAUUGAUUGUAUCGUUUGCUGUCGAUUCAUGAUGUCACACACUAAAAAUAUGAAGAAUAAACUUGCAACAUUAUUAAGAAAAAAUAGAAUACAAAGUAGAAUUAUUAUAUAAAAAAGUAGGUUAAAUAAUAAAAUAUGAUUUUUCAAUAAUAAGGAAGGGCAAGAUGAUAGGAAAAAGCAAGGAAACUACGUCACCAAACCAAAUCUGCCGUUUCAUAAAUUGACACUUUUCAUUGUUAUGAAACGAUGAAUUUAACUAUACGAUACAAUAAGAUUUAAGUAACAAUUGAAACAAACAUUGUAUUAAAAGUAAAUAUACAAUACAAUAUAAUGGGUAACAACCAUCCAAAGAAGCUGUUAGUUGAUAUACUGAAAGCUGUAUCACCAACCAACAUAGUGGUUGCAAUUGAACCAUAGUUGAUGGUUGACUAGGAUAUCAAUUUGCUUUUGUGGAUCUAGGCAAUAACAACAACAUACCCAGUAUAUUCUCAUAAGUUGGGUCAGGGGAGGGUAGUUUGUACCUAGACCUUACCUUUACCUUGUGUAGGUAGAGAGGCUAUUUCCGAUAGACCGUCGGCUCAGGUAAGCACAAUAUCAGCAGUAAAGAAAUGCAAUAUAAAAAAGUGAACAAGUCAUGGAAAGGAAACAUAUGCAAUAGGAUCUAGGGAAGUUAGUCUAACGUGAAAUUUGGAUAUCAUCUUAAAGUAUACCUUCAGUAGACAUGGUUAUUGGUCCUAUAUUGCAUUUGUUUCUUUUUUUCGGAAGCAACUAAUUUAUUUGAAUGGAAAUUGAGGGUAGUAUUUUCUAUUGCUUUUUUUGUUGUUGCAGGUCCAGCAUUAGUGAUAGUGGCAUUGGAAUGAUAUGCAAUGUAUUCCCAGAGACAUUGUCUAAACUUCUCAUUGCUGUUUGUCCAAAUAUCACUUCAAGUAAACAUUCAUAUCUGCUUCCUUGAUUAUCCAACCCAGCAACCUGUUGCAUGUUCACUAAUUUGUUUGGAAUUUGUGUUGGAUUCUUUUAGGUGGCAUUCAAUUUGCUACAGCUCAGUUGCCUAAUCUAGAGCUAAUGGACUGUGGUAUGACCAUUUGUGAUCCGAAUCUAGACAGUACAACUCAGGAAAAUAAUGAUCUCCAGUUACAAAGAACUUCAAACAGUAAAAUGCACCUUAUAUAUCAAAAACUGAUUAUUAAACAUACCCGCUUGAAGAAACUCAGCUUAUGGGGUUGCUCUGGAUUAGAUGUGAGAUUCUUCAGUCAAUAGCAUCUAAGCUUUCCUUGUCUCCUUUCUGCUUUAG
RNAcentral lists this long non-coding RNA (1561 nucleotides) under Nicotiana tabacum (common tobacco). RNAcentral describes it as "long non-coding RNA (NTAB_LNC017205)". The record is from RNAcentral. Lineage: Eukaryota; Viridiplantae; Streptophyta; Magnoliopsida; Solanales; Solanaceae.